This 404-nucleotide ribosomal RNA is filed under the name Fusobacteriota bacterium. Its description in RNAcentral is "Fusobacteria bacterium partial 16S ribosomal RNA". It matches the Rfam family "Bacterial small subunit ribosomal RNA", at positions 355 to 776 of the family's 1533-position model. The record is from RNAcentral. Lineage: Bacteria; Fusobacteriati; Fusobacteriota.
UGGGGAAUAUUGCACAAUGGAGGGAACUCUGAUGCAGCGACGCCGCGUGAGUGAUGAAGGAAUUCGUUUCGUAAAACUCUGUUCUAUGGGAAGAAAAGGACUGUACCAUAGGAGAAAGCUCCGGCUAAAUACGUGCCAGCAGCCGCGGUAAUACGUAUGGAGCGAGCGUUGUCCGGAAUUAUUGGGCGUAAAGGGUGCGUAGGCGGCUUUACAAGUUGGAUGUGAAAUAUUGUGGCUCAACCACAAACGUGCAUCCAAAACUGCAAAGCUUGAGUUAAGGAGAGGUAAGUGGAAUUCCUGGUGUAGCGGUGGAAUGCGUAGAUAUCAGGAGGAAUACCGGUGGCGAAGGCGACUUACUGGACUUAAACUGACGCUCAGGCACGAAAGCGUGGGGAGCAAACAGG